GGCCCAUUAGCUCAGUUGGUUAGAGCGUUGUGCUAAUAACGCGAAUUCGAUCCCCCCAUGGGCCA
Molecule: transfer RNA, 65 nt
Filed under: Trichonephila clavata
Lineage: Eukaryota; Metazoa; Arthropoda; Arachnida; Araneae; Nephilidae
Rfam family: tRNA
About the family: Transfer RNA (tRNA) molecules are approximately 80 nucleotides in length. Their secondary structure includes four short double-helical elements and three loops (D, anti-codon, and T loops).
Source: Rfam by way of RNAcentral